Molecule: long non-coding RNA, 2156 nt
Organism: Prinia subflava (tawny-flanked prinia)
Lineage: Eukaryota; Metazoa; Chordata; Aves; Passeriformes; Cisticolidae
Exons: 3
Source: RefSeq, a predicted model, not a curated record
GCUGCCGGCGGCGCGCGCGAGGACUGAGGAGGCCUGGUGCAGGGCUAAGAGUGUGCAACCUAUAAGCACACACUGCAUACAGGAACACCAGGAGCCAUGAAUGUGAGUGGUGAAGGGAGUAAGAAGUGCUGGUACACCCUUCACAUCCUAGUGGUACUGAGAAUGGCUGAUUUGUGUGGACAGGGAAGAGAGGUGACCCUGGAUCUACAGCUUUCCUGCAGAAUUUGUGCUGAGGCAACUUCAUGAAACAGAGUAGAAAUAAGACAGGAUGAUGAAAGCUAAUGAAAUAGGAAGCUUUUCACUUCCAGCCCAUAUGUUCCAGCACAUCCUUCAACCUGGAAUGAAACACAGUCUCAGAUGUGGUAGUGGUAGUGACCUCUUUAUUACUGACUAUUACUGACUAUUGUCAGCAGCAAAUAAAAUUUUUGCAAGCUUAAUGGGAUUUUUUUUAAACUCCCUUAAUGAGAGUUUUUGCAACCUUGAGAGGGGUGGUAGUAUCCUGCUCUUCUCCAGGCAUCCAGCUCACAGGCAUACAUGAAAACUAGCACCUACCUGACAUAGUGGUCAUGUCACUAAGAGGCACUAGAGUAUCUACGCCUUAACCCAAUCCAACCCUACACCAAAUAAGCUUUCACUGCCUGAAAUUUACUUUAUUUUCCUUUUAGUAGGGGCUGUUUCAUUCUGAGUGGAUCUCAGGAAGACAUCUAGUUCAUCAAGAGUAUACUGAUGCCUGACCAUAACCUUACCUGAUGACAAAAUCUCGAAGUAGGGCAAAUUCACAGUGAUUGAGGUUUUCCACUGAAAAGAAAGCAAGCAAUUGUUACAUUUGAUUUUUUCAACAGCCCCUUUGUGGUUAUAGAACAUGAGAAAGUCACUGCCAUUGGGGCAGGUUCCAAGUGGGUAGACCUUGCAUACUUCAGAAAGGACAGACAGUUGUCUGAAAGCCACAUUGUUGAGCAUUGAGGAGACACUAAGAGAUGCUGGGCAGUCACAUAUGAACUUUCAUUUGAAAACCAAGGCAAUCUCAGGAGCUUAGCUUCACACACCCUGAUGUUAGAGUGGCUCCAGCUUCUGCCAGGUGGUGAUAGUGGCACUAUAUUGACCAUGGCAGUUCCCUCCUGGUGCAGCUAUUUGAGAAUUCUUCUGCUUGGUUUCAAGUAUUUUGUCACAAAUGGGAUGGGAAGGUAGCCACAGGACAUGCUAUCUGGACCCUUGUCUAUUACUGUGAUCUGCAGACAAUACUUUCAGCUCCCAUAAGCAAGAGGUUUUUUACCUUCAAUGAUUCCCCAAGGUGUUUUCCGGCCCAGGACUCUUUUGCCAUUCACUUGGUACUCCUUGUCACUGCCCACUACUGCAAAGGGCAUGCUUUCCUGCUAGGGAGAGAUGUGGAAAGAUCCAUCGAACAAAUUCCAGAGACCAGCACCACUAUGGUUCCCCAUCUACCUUUCCACUUCUCAGCUCAACAAACACAAGGCCUUCUCUGAGGGAAGAGAUUCUCCAGAGCAAAACUUCACUGGCUGUCCUUUUUACCCCUCAGUGCUAUCCCUAGAAUUCUGGACUCUUGCUUUCCAGGCGUCCUUGCACCCCAACAAGCUUAGUGGGUAGCUUGCAGCAGUGCAAGGGCUCCAGAGCUGGGGCAGAGCUUUUCUGCAUUACCUCCAGAAUUUCUGAGGAGGGGGAUGACCAGAGAAGAAGUACCUUAGCAUAACCAACAGAGGAUCUGUCAGCCCAGAGCUGCUCAUAUGGAUAAUUUGAGAUGAAUUAUUUCUCACCAGAUUUUAGUUCUUCAGAAUAGAAAGACAGGACUCAAAUAAUCCUUCCCCAUAAACCACAUGAACAUUCAUCAGGUUUAGUGGCUGAAAUUGUACUGAGGAGAGCCAGAAAUGGAGUAAGGGUGUAGCUUUCCUGGAAAGUAGGACAGUAGGUGAGGCUAUUGAGGACCCAGAUAUCUCUAAGCACAGGGAGAAACUAUCUGUUUCCAGAGCACAGAGUGCAGAAGACUCUGCGAUCCAUAGUACUGUGCAGAUGUUUAUAGGUUUACUCUGCUUUACAGAUGUGUCUGGAAAGAGUCUGCAAUUACCACAGGAAUGGAGACUUAAAAGCAGUUUAUUUCUUAUAUGUGAGGGCAAUGAUGCUGAAGUGCAGAACAAAAUGUG